RNAcentral lists this ribosomal RNA (787 nucleotides) under Chryseobacterium sp. 12HD25. RNAcentral's name for it is "bacterial SSU rRNA". It matches the Rfam family "Bacterial small subunit ribosomal RNA", at positions 129 to 919 of the family's 1533-position model. The record is from RNAcentral. Lineage: Bacteria; Pseudomonadati; Bacteroidota; Flavobacteriia; Flavobacteriales; Weeksellaceae.
CCUUUAUCAGGAGGAUAGCCUUUCGAAAGGAAGAUUAAUUCCCCAUAAUAUAAGAAACGGCAUCGUUUUUUAUUGAAAACUCCGGUGGAUAGAGAUGGGCACGCGCAAGAUUAGAUAGUUGGUAGGGUAACGGCCUACCAAGUCAGUGAUCUUUAGGGGGCCUGAGAGGGUGAUCCCCCACACUGGUACUGAGACACGGACCAGACUCCUACGGGAGGCAGCAGUGAGGAAUAUUGGACAAUGGGUGAGAGCCUGAUCCAGCCAUCCCGCGUGAAGGACGACGGCCCUAUGGGUUGUAAACUUCUUUUGUAUAGGGAUAAACCUUUCCACGUGUGGAAAGCUGAAGGUACUAUACGAAUAAGCACCGGCUAACUCCGUGCCAGCAGCCGCGGUAAUACGGAGGGUGCAAGCGUUAUCCGGAUUUAUUGGGUUUAAAGGGUCCGUAGGCGGAUCUGUAAGUCAGUGGUGAAAUCUCAUAGCUUAACUAUGAAACUGCCAUUGAUACUGCAGGUCUUGAGUAAAGUAGAAGUGGCUGGAAUAAGUAGUGUAGCGGUGAAAUGCAUAGAUAUUACUUAGAACACCAAUUGCGAAGGCAGGUCACUAUGUUUUAACUGACGCUGAUGGACGAAAGCGUGGGGAGCGAACAGGAUUAGAUACCCUGGUAGUCCACGCCGUAAACGAUGCUAACUCGUUUUUGGGUCUUCGGAUUCAGAGACUAAGCGAAAGUGAUAAGUUAGCCACCUGGGGAGUACGUUCGCAAGAAUGAAACUCAAGGAAUUGACGGGGG